RNAcentral lists this small RNA (27 nucleotides) under Bombyx mori (domestic silkworm). RNAcentral's name for it is "ovarian small RNA-35660". The record is from RNAcentral. Lineage: Eukaryota; Metazoa; Arthropoda; Insecta; Lepidoptera; Bombycidae.
UGUCCAAAAAAUUUUAGUAUGCGCCUA